This 76-nucleotide transfer RNA is filed under the name Pseudoalteromonas sp. 10-33. RNAcentral describes it as "tRNA-Val". It matches the Rfam family "tRNA". Rfam says of the family: Transfer RNA (tRNA) molecules are approximately 80 nucleotides in length. The record is from RNAcentral. Lineage: Bacteria; Pseudomonadati; Pseudomonadota; Gammaproteobacteria; Alteromonadales; Pseudoalteromonadaceae.
GGGUGAUUAGCUCAGUUGGGAGAGCAUCGCCCUUACAAGGCGAUGGUCACUGGUUCAAGUCCAGUAUCACCCACCA